This 155-nucleotide ribosomal RNA is filed under the name Escherichia coli. RNAcentral describes it as "partial 16S ribosomal RNA". It matches the Rfam family "Bacterial small subunit ribosomal RNA", at positions 1 to 149 of the family's 1533-position model. The record is from RNAcentral. Lineage: Bacteria; Pseudomonadati; Pseudomonadota; Gammaproteobacteria; Enterobacterales; Enterobacteriaceae.
AAAUUGAAGAGUUUGAUCAUGGCUCAGAUUGAACGCUGGCGGCAGGCCUAACACAUGCAAGUCGAACGGUAACAGAAAGCAGCUUGCUGCUUUGCUGACGAGUGGCGGACGGGUGAGUAAUGUCUGGGAAACUGCCCGAUGGAGGGGGAUAACUA